AUUGAACGCUGGCGGUAGGCCUAACACAUGCAAGUCGAACGGCAGCACAGUAAGAGCUUGCUCGUACGGGUGGCGAGGGGCGGACGGGUGAGGAAUACGUCGGAAUCUACGUUUGCGUGGGGGGUAACGUAGGGAAACUUACGCUAAUACCGCAUACGACCUACGGGUGAAAGCAGGGGAUCUUCGGACCUUGCGCGAUUGAAUGAGCCGAUGUCGGAUUAGCUAGUUGGCGGGGUAAAGGCCCACCAAGGCGACGAUCCGUAGCUGGUCUGAGAGGAUGAUCAGCCACACUGGAACUGAGACACGGUCCAGACUCCUACGGGAGGCAGCAGUGGGGAAUAUUGGACAAUGGGCGCAAGCCUGAUCCAGCCAUACCGCGUGGGUGAAGAAGGCCUUCGGGUUGUAAAGCCCUUUUGUUGGGAAAGAAAAGCAGCAGGUUAAUACCCCGCUGUUCUGACGGUACCCACAGAAUAAGCACCGGCUAACUUCGUG
This 492-nucleotide ribosomal RNA is filed under the name uncultured bacterium. RNAcentral describes it as "partial 16S ribosomal RNA". It matches the Rfam family "Bacterial small subunit ribosomal RNA", at positions 30 to 507 of the family's 1533-position model. The record is from RNAcentral.